AAAUUGAAGAGUUUGAUCAUGGCUCAGAUUGAACGCUGGCGGCAGGCCUAACACAUGCAAGUCGAACGGUAACAGGAAGCAGCUUGCUGCUUUGCUGACGAGUGGCGGACGGGUGAGUAAUGUCUGGGAAACUGCCUGAUGGAGGGGGAUAACUACUGGAAACGGUAGCUAAUACCGCAUAACGUCGCAAGACCAAAGAGGGGGACCUUCGGGCCUCUUGCCAUCGGAUGUGCCCAGAUGGGAUUAGCUAGU
Molecule: ribosomal RNA, 252 nt
Filed under: Escherichia coli
Lineage: Bacteria; Pseudomonadati; Pseudomonadota; Gammaproteobacteria; Enterobacterales; Enterobacteriaceae
Description: partial 16S ribosomal RNA
Rfam family: Bacterial small subunit ribosomal RNA
Source: RNAcentral